CCUACGGGAGGCAGCAGUAGGGAAUCUUCCACAAUGGGCGCAAGCCUGAUGGAGCAACACCGCGUGAGUGAAGAAGGGUUUCGGCUCGUAAAGCUCUGUUUUUGGAGAAGAACGUGCGUGAGAGUAACUGUUCACGCAGUGACGGUAUCCAACCAGAAAGUCACGGCUAACUACGUGCCAGCAGCCGCGGUAAUACGUAGGUGGCAAGCGUUAUCCGGUUUUAUUGGGCGUAAAGCGAGCGCAGUCGGUUGGUUAGGUCAGAUGUGAAAGCCUUCGGCUUAACCGAAGAAGUGCAUCGGAAACCGGGAAACUUGAGUGCAGAAGAGGACAGUGGAACUCCAUGUGUAGCGGUGGAAUGCGUAGAUAUAUGGAAGAACACCAGUGGCGAAGGCGGCUGUCUGGUCUGCAACUGACGCUGAGGCUCGAAAGCAUGGGUAGCGAACAGGAUUAGAUACCCUGGUAGUC
RNAcentral lists this ribosomal RNA (465 nucleotides) under uncultured bacterium. RNAcentral's name for it is "partial 16S ribosomal RNA". It matches the Rfam family "Bacterial small subunit ribosomal RNA", at positions 338 to 795 of the family's 1533-position model. The record is from RNAcentral.